CUGGAAAGUAGAAAGAGGAGGGAGAUCAUCUAUGGAACUUGCAACCCCAGAAACAACAUGGUGGUGGAUGGGCUAAGCCUGAAGUGAGAUUGCCAGAUUUAUGUCCUUUCUAGAUGAAAUGUGGAUCCUUUAGCAACAGGAGGGUCUUAUGCAAAAUCCAAAAGAAG
Long non-coding RNA from Orcinus orca (killer whale), 167 nucleotides. RefSeq lists it as uncharacterized. NCBI's taxonomy places the organism in Eukaryota, Metazoa, Chordata, Mammalia, Artiodactyla, Delphinidae. The record is from RefSeq and is a predicted model, not a curated record. The transcript has 3 exons.